Molecule: ribosomal RNA, 36 nt
Filed under: Lecidella carpathica
Lineage: Eukaryota; Fungi; Ascomycota; Lecanoromycetes; Lecanorales; Lecanoraceae
Also listed under: 2 other names
Description: partial 28S ribosomal RNA
Source: RNAcentral
GACCUCGGAUCAGGUAGGGGUACCCGCUGAACUUAA